UAGAGUUUGAUCAUGGCUCAGAGUGAACGUUGGCGGCGUGCCUAACACAUGCAAGUCGAACGAGAACCAAGAAGCUUGCUUUUGGGGAAAGUGGCGAACGGGUGAGUAACACGUGAGUAACCUGCCCUCGAGUGGGGAAUAACUUCGCGAAAGCGAGGCUAAUACCGCAUAAUAUUUCGAAACACAAGUUUUCGAAAUCAAAGCUUUCGAGCGCUUGAGGAUGGGCUUGCGUCCUAUUAGCUAGUUGGUGGGGUAAUGGCCUACCAAGGUGACGAUGGGUAGCCGGCCUGAGAGGGUGAUCGGCCACACUGGAACUGCGACACGGUCCAGACUCCUACGGGUGGCAGCAGUGGGGAACUUUGCGCAAUGGGCGAAAGCCUGACGCAGCGACGCCGCGUGGAGGAUGACGGCCUUCGGGUUGUAAACUCCUGUCAGAGGUGAAGAAAAUCUUCGGAUUGACGGUAACCUCAGAGGAAGCCCCGGCUAACUACGUGCCAGCAGCCGCGGUAAUACGUAGGGGGCAAACGUUGCUCGGAAUUACUGGGCGUAAAGGGUGUGCAGGUGGCUGAGAAAGUCGAUGAUGAAAUUCCGAGGCUUACCUUCGGAACUGUCAUCGAAACUGCUUGGCUUGAGGAUGGUUGAGGAAGACGGAAUUCCCGGUGGAGCGGUGAAAUGCGUAGAUAUCGGGAGGAACACCAGAGGCGAAGGCGGUCUUCUGAGCCACUCCUGACACUGAGACACGAAAGCUAGGGGAGCGAACGGGAUUAGAUACCCCGGUAGUCCUAGCUGUAAACGAUGGGCACUAGAUGUUCUCGCUUAUUGCGGGAGUG
Molecule: ribosomal RNA, 830 nt
Filed under: uncultured Aminicenantes bacterium
Lineage: Bacteria; Candidatus Aminicenantota
Description: bacterial SSU rRNA
Rfam family: Bacterial small subunit ribosomal RNA
Source: RNAcentral